Pan troglodytes (chimpanzee) is the source of this 1291-nucleotide long non-coding RNA. RefSeq lists it as uncharacterized. The transcript has 3 exons. The record is from RefSeq and is a predicted model, not a curated record. Lineage: Eukaryota; Metazoa; Chordata; Mammalia; Primates; Hominidae.
GUUCUUGGUCUGUUGCCCAGGCUAAAGUGCAGUGGUGCAAUCACAGCUCACUGCAGCCUUGAACUCCUGGCUCAAACGAUCCUCCCACUUCAGCCUCCUGAGUAGCUGGGACUACUUGUGAGCCACCACACUCAGCUAAUUUUUGUAUUUUGUUGUAGAGACUGGAUUUCACCUUGUUCUCCAGGCUGGUCUUGAACUCCUGGCCUCUAACUAUCCACCUGCCUUGACCUCCCAGAAUGCUGGGAUGAGAGGCCUGUGCCUGGCCAAUUGUGUGGUUUUUGAUGAGCCCGCAGAAGACUCUUCAGAGGACUUUUGGGUUUUAGACGAGAUUCCUUAAAUUUUGUUUUUUAAUGUAAACCCCUCCCAGUUUAAUGAACAUUCAAAACUACUUCCCCAGGGAGUUUAUGGCUUUCCAAGAGCUUUGGGAAAAGGAGGAAGAGUUGCCACUGUUUGACUGACCAGGAAGCCCUGUCUUCUGCAGUUGACUGUCCUGGCAGGCCAUCCCCAUCCUUCUGGGCUCAGGUUUAUGCUCAGAUGCCUGGCAUCCCACCACUGGCAGCUGCCUACCCUCAACAUUGCCCUGACUGGGUUCCCACUUUAGAAGCAAAUGCAGCAUCUGCAGGAAUGGGAAAGAAAGUAACACAAGUGACUCUGAUGUAUCUCACAGUGACCUCAGGGACACUUCAUUCCUGGUGGGGUCAAUGGACAGAGAAUCUUGGAUGAAGAGGAAGGAUCACUAGAGUCACAGUGGAUGUUGAGCUUGGAUUCUACAAACAACACAGAGGGAGAAACUGAGAUGGUCAAAAUAACUGAAUAAAACUGAAUCAACCCAGCAGAGGAGUUAUCCUUCUCAGGAGCUGCUUUAGGAUGGAAGAUGAGGCUUGCUUUUUCUUUCUCCUAGAAGUCAGCAUUUUACAUGAUUCUGGGAGGGAAGAAAGGAGACAGGAACCAAGGAGCCUGAGUAGGGAUUUGCCCACCGCUGGGCAGCCAGGCUCCCGUCAGGAAGGCUUUUCAGAGGGAGUGUUGGAAGGAGUCGUCGAGGAGUCUCCCUCACCCAGGAAGUCUUCCUCACCGGGUGAGCCCCAACCUGCUGGACCUGCUCAGAAUUCGCCCAACAGGGGAUCCUGGUUGACUGAGGUCUGCUAAUUCCAAUUCACCUACGCUAAAUUCUCCCAGAAUGUCUUCAUCAUCAAUGAAUCCCUUUCCACUGACACAACGCCUGGAAGAACAUAAACUCUGUGACGAUAAAUGCCAAUUAAAUAAUAAUAAAAUAAACUUUCUUUGGUGGCCA